This 327-nucleotide long non-coding RNA is filed under the name Fukomys damarensis (Damara mole-rat). RNAcentral's name for it is "lncRNA (ENSFDAG00000024918.1)". Lineage: Eukaryota; Metazoa; Chordata; Mammalia; Rodentia; Bathyergidae. The record is from RNAcentral.
GUUAUUCAUCCGCUCUGGCGCCAGUGCCUUCUGCCUUUCCCCACAGCCGGAAUGGCCAUGAAAGGUGCCCCUCCUAUCAGUGAGCCAAAAUGCACCUGUGCUGACGUUCCUGGAGUGGGUGACUCACAUGACAGUGUGGCACUUAGCACAAGGUCCUGUGGUGAUUGUUGAUGACUGUAAAAGUCUUGACGGCUGGACAGUGCUUUUCUUCUCUUAAUCCCCAGCACACUAGGAAAUGUUCACUGACAUAAUUGGAAAUUUGUCAUCCAAAUAUGUGAGUACAAUCAUGCAUGAAAAGGCAGCUUAAUUGCCCGAGACCCAGUGGCU